UUUAUGGAGAGUUUGAUCCUGGCUCAGGAUGAACGCUGGCGGCGUGCCUAAUACAUGCAAGUCGAGCGAACGGACGAGAAGCUUACUUCUCUGAUGUUAGCGGCGGACGGGUGAGUAACACGUGGAUAACCUACCUAUAAGACUGGGAUAACUUCGGGAAACCGGAGCUAAUACCGGAUAAUAUUUU
Molecule: ribosomal RNA, 187 nt
Filed under: Staphylococcus aureus
Lineage: Bacteria; Bacillati; Bacillota; Bacilli; Caryophanales; Staphylococcaceae
Description: partial 16S ribosomal RNA
Rfam family: Bacterial small subunit ribosomal RNA
Source: RNAcentral